AUCAAAUUAGAAGGCUCAGAGAUUGCUCAAAUUGCUAGUAGAUACGUUAGGUUUUAUGUAAAUCUUCUUAACGUUAUCUAAAAAUCCUAAAUGCUCGUCAACUCAAACGUCGCUAGCAGCAAUUGCAUGGUGUCUGUCGUGGUGGUGGAGGGGGCAGAGGUGCUCCGAUUCGAUAGAAGUCAACGAGUUGAAGUAGUUCGAUCCAAGUUGCUACCGCUGAAGCCUUGUUGAUAUCUUAUUGGAGGUUUUCUAAAUUGUAACUAUGCCCUCCUCCCUCCGCACUCCACAACAAACAAGGAAUUUGAAUCAGAUUCAGGUAACCUUAAACCUUUUUUUUCUAUUCCGUAAAAAAGAUGGGGAUGUGGUCGCUCAUGUUGUCCAGUAAGGCAACCUCCCAAGCGAGUGGCCAUUGCAUCUCUGCCUUGCAAGGCAACGACUUGGAAGCCUCACAAGCAGCCGCUGCCCAGUGAGGCAGUGUUAGGCAACGAUGCGACUGCUUGCGAGGUGGCCUUUGCCCCGCAAGGCAGCGACGUAGCCACCUUGCCAGACUGCCAUUUGAGGCAUUGCUCAUGUUCAUUAUUUUCAGAGAUGGGAAGUCAUUUUCAGGCUGCCAUUUGUGUUGUUUGACUAAGAUACAUCCUUUUGUAAUAUUAAGGAAGGAGCUAUGGCUGCUAACCCGCUUGUCAAAUGCAUUGAAGAUGCAUUGACAAUGAACCAAUAGCUUAUCAAUUCUAAAUAGGUCUUCUUGCUAAGUUAUCAGAUCCAGGAGGUUGAUAGAGUGAGUUGUUGUAGCAGAGAGCAGUAAAGUUUAUAUGUAACAAAGAUAUGACCUUUUGUUGUGCACUGAGAGUUCAAUUUGUCUAGCAAGAUUGAGCAUUGUUGCAUUAGAAUUUCCAGAAUU
Zingiber officinale is the source of this 901-nucleotide long non-coding RNA. RefSeq lists it as uncharacterized. NCBI's taxonomy places the organism in Eukaryota, Viridiplantae, Streptophyta, Magnoliopsida, Zingiberales, Zingiberaceae. The transcript has 3 exons. The record is from RefSeq and is a predicted model, not a curated record.